UUGCUUCUCAGCAUUUUGGCUAAGAUUAAGUAUAGUAUUUGUUCUUAUCAGUUUAAUAUAUGA
Molecule: small nuclear RNA, 63 nt
Filed under: Cervus elaphus hippelaphus
Lineage: Eukaryota; Metazoa; Chordata; Mammalia; Artiodactyla; Cervidae
Rfam family: U2 spliceosomal RNA
About the family: U2 is a small nuclear RNA (snRNA) component of the spliceosome (involved in pre-mRNA splicing). Complementary binding between U2 snRNA (in an area lying towards the 5' end but 3' to hairpin I) and the branchpoint sequence (BPS) of the intron results the bulging out of an unpaired adenosine, on the BPS, which initiates a nucleophilic attack at the intronic 5' splice site, thus starting the first of two transesterification reactions that mediate splicing.
Source: RNAcentral